UACAGAGGGUGCAAGCGUUAAUCGGAUUUACUGGGCGUAAAGCGUGCGUAGGCGGUUUGCUAAGUCGGUUGUGAAAUCCCUGGGCUCAACCUGGGAACUGCAGUCGAUACUGGCGGACUAGAGUACGGUAGAGGGUGGCGGAACUCCGGGUGUAGCGGUGAAAUGCGUAGAUAUCCGGAAGAACACCGAUGGCGAAGGCAACCACCUGGGCCUGUACUGACGCUGAGGUACGAAAGCGUGGGGAGCAAACAGG
RNAcentral lists this ribosomal RNA (253 nucleotides) under uncultured bacterium. RNAcentral describes it as "partial 16S ribosomal RNA". It matches the Rfam family "Bacterial small subunit ribosomal RNA", at positions 524 to 776 of the family's 1533-position model. The record is from RNAcentral.